This 253-nucleotide ribosomal RNA is filed under the name uncultured bacterium. Its description in RNAcentral is "partial 16S ribosomal RNA". It matches the Rfam family "Bacterial small subunit ribosomal RNA", at positions 524 to 776 of the family's 1533-position model. The record is from RNAcentral.
UACGAAGGGGGCUAGCGUUGCUCGGAAUCACUGGGCGUAAAGGGUGCGUAGGCGGGUCUUUAAGUCAGGGGUGAAAUCCUGGAGCUCAACUCCAGAACUGCCUUUGAUACUGAGGAUCUUGAGUUCGGGAGAGGUGAGUGGAACUGCGAGUGUAGAGGUGAAAUUCGUAGAUAUUCGCAAGAACACCAGUGGCGAAGGCGGCUCACUGGCCCGAUACUGACGCUGAGGCGCGAAAGCCAGGGGAGCGAACGGG